GUUGCCCUGGCGGAGCAGAGGCAGGCCCUCGGGGUGGAGGUCUUUGGUUUCAUAAGAGCCUGAGAGAGAUUUUUCUAAGAUAUGUGUAACACACCAACAUACUGUGACCUAGGAAAGGCUGCUAAGGAUGUCUUCAACAAAGGAUAUGGCUUUGGCAUGGUCAAGAUAGACCUGAAAACCAAGUCUUGUAGUGGAGUGAUGGAAUUUUCUACUUCUGGUCAUGCUUACACUGAUACAGGGAAAGCAUCAGGCAACCUAGAAACCAAAUAUAAGGUCUGUAACUAUGGACUUACCUUCACCCAGAAAUGGAACACAGACAAUACUCUAGGGACAGAAAUCUCUUGGGAGAAUAAGUUGGCUGAAGGGUUGAAACUGACUCUUGAUACCAUAUUUGUACCGAACACAGGAAAGAAGAGUGGGAAAUUGAAGGCCUCCUAUAAACGAGAUUGUUUUAGUGUUGGCAGUAAUGUUGAUAUAGAUUUUUCUGGACCAACCAUCUAUGGCUGGGCUGUGUUGGCCUUCGAAGGGUGGCUUGCUGGCUAUCAGAUGAGUUUUGACACAGCCAAAUCCAAACUGUCACAGAAUAAUUUCGCCCUGGGUUACAAGGCUGCGGACUUCCAGCUGCACACACAUGUGUGAGUGUUUAUAAUUUAUUCCUAAGUAUCAGUGCAGUUGCCCAAAAUAUUGUAGCCAUUAGCAUGCUGAGAAGUGAUGGUACUCAGAUUUAGCAUGCCUUGGUGAAUAUCCAUCCUUGCGGUGCUAUCCUCAUAGCAAAACCUUGCCA
RNAcentral lists this small RNA (784 nucleotides) under Pan troglodytes (chimpanzee). RNAcentral's name for it is "retained intron". The record is from RNAcentral. Lineage: Eukaryota; Metazoa; Chordata; Mammalia; Primates; Hominidae.